GAUGAACGCUGGCGGCGUGCCUAAUACAUGCAAGUCGAGCGAACAGACGAGGAGCUUGCUCCUCUGACGUUAGCAGCGGACGGGUGAGUAACACGUGGAUAACCUACCUAUAAGACUGGGAUAACUUCGGGAAGCCGGAGCUAAUACCGGAUAAUAUAUUGAACCGCAUGGUUCAAUAGUGAAAGACGGUUUUGCUGUCACUUAUAGAUGGAUCCGCGCCGCAUUAGCUAGUUGGUAAGGUAACGGCUUACCAAGGCAACGAUGCGUAGCCGACCUGAGAGGGUGAUCGGCCACACUGGAACUGAGACACGGUCCAGACUCCUACGGGAGGCAGCAGUAGGGAAUCUUCCGCAAUGGGCGAAAGCCUGACGGAGCAACGCCGCGUGAGUGAUGAAGGUCUUCGGAUCGUAAAACUCUGUUAUUAGGGAAGAACAAAUGUGUAAGUAACUAUGCACGUCUUGACGGUACCUAAUCAGAAAGCCACGGCUAACUACGUG
This 497-nucleotide ribosomal RNA is filed under the name uncultured bacterium. Its description in RNAcentral is "partial 16S ribosomal RNA". It matches the Rfam family "Bacterial small subunit ribosomal RNA", at positions 28 to 507 of the family's 1533-position model. The record is from RNAcentral.